GUUUCUAUGGUGUAAUAACGCACGUUAGAUUUUCAUUCUAAAAGAAUAAAAUAUAAAUUUAUUAGAAAUA
This 70-nucleotide transfer RNA is filed under the name Desmaulus extinctorium. RNAcentral describes it as "tRNA-Glu". Lineage: Eukaryota; Metazoa; Mollusca; Gastropoda; Littorinimorpha; Calyptraeidae. The record is from RNAcentral.